RNAcentral lists this transfer RNA (83 nucleotides) under Planctomycetaceae bacterium. RNAcentral's name for it is "tRNA-Tyr". It matches the Rfam family "tRNA". From Rfam's summary of the family: Transfer RNA (tRNA) molecules are approximately 80 nucleotides in length. Their secondary structure includes four short double-helical elements and three loops (D, anti-codon, and T loops). Lineage: Bacteria; Pseudomonadati; Planctomycetota; Planctomycetia; Planctomycetales; Planctomycetaceae. The record is from RNAcentral.
GGGGGGAUACCAAAGUGGCCAACUGGGACAGACUGUAAAUCUGUUGUCUUCGGACUUCGCAGGUUCGAAUCCUGCUCCCCCCA